Molecule: ribosomal RNA, 326 nt
Filed under: uncultured eukaryote
Lineage: Eukaryota
Description: partial 18S ribosomal RNA
Rfam family: Eukaryotic small subunit ribosomal RNA
Source: RNAcentral
CCCUUAGAUGUUCUGGGCCGCACGCGCGCUACACUGAUGAAUUCAACGAGCACUAACCUGUGCCGAAAGGCUCGGGUAAUCUUGUGAAAUUUCAUCGUGAUGGGGAUUGAUUAUUGCAAUUUUUAAUCAUAAACGAGGAAUGCCUAGUAAGCGUGAGUCAUCAGCUCACGUUGAUUACGUCCCUGCCCUUUGUACACACCGCCCGUCGCUCCUACCGAUUGAAUGUGCCAGUGAAAAGUUCGGAUUGGAGAUAGGAGACGGCAACGUAUCCUAUUUCCGAGAAAAUCUUUAAACUUUCCCAUUUAGAGGAAGGAGAAGUCGUAACA